UCCUCUGUAGUUCAGUCGGUAGAACGGCGGGCUGUUAAUCUGUAUGUCGCUGGUUUUUGAAUCCAGUCCCAGAGGGAGCCA
RNAcentral lists this transfer RNA (81 nucleotides) under Sodalis-like endosymbiont of Proechinophthirus fluctus. RNAcentral describes it as "tRNA-Asn". It matches the Rfam family "tRNA". From Rfam's summary of the family: Transfer RNA (tRNA) molecules are approximately 80 nucleotides in length. Their secondary structure includes four short double-helical elements and three loops (D, anti-codon, and T loops). Lineage: Bacteria; Pseudomonadati; Pseudomonadota; Gammaproteobacteria; Enterobacterales; Bruguierivoracaceae. The record is from RNAcentral.